RNAcentral lists this non-coding RNA (21 nucleotides) under Mus musculus (house mouse). The record is from RNAcentral. Lineage: Eukaryota; Metazoa; Chordata; Mammalia; Rodentia; Muridae.
UUCCAGUAGAGUUGCCAAUAU